This 374-nucleotide ribosomal RNA is filed under the name uncultured bacterium. Its description in RNAcentral is "bacterial SSU rRNA". It matches the Rfam family "Bacterial small subunit ribosomal RNA", at positions 41 to 417 of the family's 1533-position model. The record is from RNAcentral.
GGCAGGCCUAACACAUGCAAGCCGAGCGGAUGAGGGAAGCUUGCUUCCCGAUUUAGCGGCGGACGGGUGAGUAAUGCCUAGGAAUCUGCCUAUUAGUGGGGGAUAACGUUCCGAAAGGAACGCUAAUACCGCAUACGUCCUACGGGAGAAAGUGGGGGAUCUUCGGACCUCACGCUAAUAGAUGAGCCUAGGUCGGAUUAGCUAGUUGGUGGGGUAACGGCUCACCAAGGCGACGAUCCGUAGCUGGUCUGAGAGGAUGAUCAGCCACACUGGAACUGAGACACGGUCCAGACUCCUACGGGAGGCAGCAGUGGGGAGUAUUGGACAAUGGGCGAAAGCCUGAUCCAGCCAUGCCGCGUGUGUGAAGAAGGUCU